UACGGAGGGUGCGAGCGUUGUCCGGAAUCACUGGGCGUAAAGGGCGCGUAGGUGGCCUGUGGAAGUCUGCGGUGAAAGCCCGGCGCUCAACGCCGGGUCGGCCGUGGAUACUCUCGGGCUUGAGCUUACUAGAGGCAGAUGGAAUUCCGGGUGUAGCGGUGGAAUGCGUAGAGAUCUGGAGGAACACCGAUGGCGAAGGCAGCCUUCUGGGCCAACACUGACGCUCAUGCACGAAAGCGUGGGGAGCAAACAGG
This 254-nucleotide ribosomal RNA is filed under the name uncultured bacterium. Its description in RNAcentral is "partial 16S ribosomal RNA". It matches the Rfam family "Bacterial small subunit ribosomal RNA", at positions 524 to 776 of the family's 1533-position model. The record is from RNAcentral.